This 492-nucleotide ribosomal RNA is filed under the name uncultured bacterium. RNAcentral describes it as "partial 16S ribosomal RNA". It matches the Rfam family "Bacterial small subunit ribosomal RNA", at positions 29 to 507 of the family's 1533-position model. The record is from RNAcentral.
AGUGAACGCUGGCGGUAGGCCUAACACAUGCAAGUCGAACGGCAGCACAGUAAGAGCUUGCUCUUACGGGUGGCGAGUGGCGGACGGGUGAGGAAUACAUCGGAAUCUACUUUUUCGUGGGGGAUAACGUAGGGAAACUUACGCUAAUACCGCAUACGACCUACGGGCGAAAGCAGGGGAUCUUCGGACCUUGCGCGAUUGAAUGAGCCGAUGUCGGAUUAGCUAGUUGGCGGAGUAAAGGCCCACCAAGGCGACGAUCCGUAGCUGGUCUGAGAGGAUGAUCAGCCACACUGGAACUGAGACACGGUCCAGACUCCUACGGGAGGCAGCAGUGGGGAAUAUUGGACAAUGGGCGCAAGCCUGAUCCAGCCAUACCGCGUGGGUGAAGAAGGCCUUCGGGUUGUAAAGCCCUUUUGUUGGGAAAGAAAAGCAGCAGGUUAAUACCCCGCUGUUCUGACGGUACCCAAAGAAUAAGCACCGGCUAACUUCGUG